RNAcentral lists this transfer RNA (68 nucleotides) under Marmota monax (woodchuck). RNAcentral's name for it is "tRNA.Ala". Lineage: Eukaryota; Metazoa; Chordata; Mammalia; Rodentia; Sciuridae. The record is from RNAcentral.
GGAUUGUGGCUCAGUGAUAGAGCGCUUGCCUAGCAUAUGCGAGGCCCUGGGUUCAAUCCUCAGCACCA